CCCACCACUGCACCUGACCAGUUCUUGUUAGCUUGGGCAAUCCAGUGGUGAGCUGAAAGUAGGCCACAGCCUUUAGGAAACAGGGCCGUCCUACAGGUGGAUGAUUCUGUGCCAGAAGCAUGGGAACAAUC
Molecule: small nucleolar RNA, 131 nt
Organism: Nannospalax galili (Upper Galilee mountains blind mole rat)
Lineage: Eukaryota; Metazoa; Chordata; Mammalia; Rodentia; Spalacidae
Source: Ensembl